Molecule: ribosomal RNA, 347 nt
Filed under: Monascus fuliginosus
Lineage: Eukaryota; Fungi; Ascomycota; Eurotiomycetes; Eurotiales; Aspergillaceae
Description: SSU rRNA
Rfam family: Eukaryotic small subunit ribosomal RNA
Source: RNAcentral
GUAGUCAUAUGCUUGUCUCAAAGAUUAAGCCAUGCAUGUCUAAGUGUAAGCAAUUUAUACUGUGAAACUGCGAAUGGCUCAUUAAAUCAGUUAUCGUUUAUUUGAUAGUACCUUACUACAUGGAUACCUGUGGUAAUUCUAGAGCUAAUACAUGCUAAAAACCCCGACUUCGGAAGGGGUGUAUUUAUUAGAUAAAAAACCAACGCCCUUCGGGGCUCCUUGGUGAAUCAUAAUAACUAAACGAAUCGCAUGGCUUUGCGCCGGCGAUGGUUCAUUCAAAUUUCUGCCCUAUCAACUUUCGAUGGUAGGAUAGUGGCCUACCAUGGUGGCAACGGGUAACGGGGAAU